Molecule: long non-coding RNA, 255 nt
Organism: Haplochromis burtoni (Burton's mouthbrooder)
Lineage: Eukaryota; Metazoa; Chordata; Actinopteri; Cichliformes; Cichlidae
Exons: 3
Source: RefSeq, a predicted model, not a curated record
AGGAAUCGUCUUGAAGUGGACCAUUUGGACCUGCUGAUGCGCAUAAAGUCAAACCUGCAAGCAGAUGAGGCCAUCAACUUGGACGUUGCAUACAACCACGUGAGAAGGGCAGACGGGAAAAUUAAGGUGCACACGUCUCAAUUCCUCCAGAACAGGAACAACAAAGUGCAGCCACUGGAGAAGUGAGAAGGACACACAGGAAAAAUAAGACAAAGAGUUACAGGACUCUCCCCCAGACCACAGCAGGAGCUUCAC